Molecule: unclassified non-coding RNA, 252 nt
Filed under: plant metagenome
Description: partial contains small subunit ribosomal RNA, internal transcribed spacer 1, and 5.8S ribosomal RNA
Source: RNAcentral
UUUCCGUAGGUGAACCAGCGGAAGGAUCAUUACCGUAUGUCUGACGGCGAGGGUGGGCGUCGUUACGGACCGAAUGGCCGUCCAGCGGGCGAGCACGGGCAGCUCAACCUUUGCACACCCCGCCGUGCACUUUUCUCGGCAGAGGGCCCUCGUGGCCCCGAGCCGGACCACAAUCUCUACAUUACAGAACGAUCUGUGGCCGCUGUGCCGCCUAAUCUUUAACAACUUUCAACAACGGAUCUCUUGGCUCUC